AGUGGCGGACGGGUGAGUAACACGUAAGAAUUUGCCUUUAGGAGGGGGACAACAACUAGAAAUGGUUGCUAAUACCCCAUAUGCUUUCGAGUGAAAUGGAUUUUUCCGCCUAGAGAGAAGCUUGCGGCUGAUUAGCUUGUUGGUGAGGUAAUGGCUCACCAAGGCGACGAUCAGUAUCUGGUUUGAGAGGACGAUCAGACACACUGGAACUGAGACACGGUCCAGACUCCUACGGGAGGCAGCAGUGGGGAAUUUUCCGCAAUGGGCGAAAGCCUGACGGAGCAAUACCGCGUAAGGGAUGACGGCCUAUGGGUUGUAAACCUCUUUUUUCAGGGAGGAAUCAAUGACGUGUACCUGAAGAAUAAGCAUCGGCUAACUCCGUGCCAGCAGCCGCGGUAAGACGGGGGAUGCAAGUGUUAUCCGGAAUCACUGGGCGUAAAGCGUCUGUAGGUGGUCCAAUAAGUCAACUGUUAAAUCUUGAGGCUCAACCUCAAAAUCGCAGUCGAAACUAUUAGACUAGAGUAUAGUAGGGGUAAAGGGAAUUUCCAGUGGAGCGGUGAAAUGCGUAGAGAUUGGAAAGAACACCGAUGGCGAAGGCACUUUACUGGGCUAUUACUAACACUCAGAGACGAAAGCUAGGGUAGCAAAUGGGAUUAGAUACCCCAGUAGUCCUAGCCGUAAACAAUGGAUACUAGAUGUU
RNAcentral lists this ribosomal RNA (700 nucleotides) under uncultured bacterium. RNAcentral describes it as "bacterial SSU rRNA". It matches the Rfam family "Bacterial small subunit ribosomal RNA", at positions 94 to 824 of the family's 1533-position model. The record is from RNAcentral.